UCAGGACCCCUAAAAAAACAGUGAAGCUUCAUUCACCACAAUAUGUACUCUACACAGACUCUGAGUUGGAGUCUGUCCGACGAGAGUACUCAGAGCUGCAAAAAAUAGGGAAAGAAAAAGAAUGCGAAAUGUCCAAAGAUUUAAGGUGCAGAUUAAUUCGUAACACAAUGACAAGCAUGAUCUCCAUCUUGAGGGCAACAGGGGAUGAAGAUUCCCACAAGUAUCCUUCAAAAGAAGAAAUAACAGCUAUGGCGAAAAGAAUCGUUCAGUACUACCCCAUGUUAAAGGAUGAAGAUUUCUCAAAGAAAAAUUAAUGGGUCACAGUUUAUGCACAACUCUAUAAAAGGCUGUGGAACGUCCGAUCCCCCAUUUAAGAGCAGGGGCCCAGCCAAGAAGCUUCGUUUGGGGACUUCAGUUCUGAGUGAGGAGGAGUUUGGCUCCAGCGACUCAACCGUCCUUUUGGACACCAGUGACACCACUGACGACAGUUUUCUGGAUGUUGGCGGUAGCAAAGUUGAUGGAUGAGCUCCGGCGGAUUCUGCAGAGAGAUAACAUGGAUUUCAUAAGCGAAGUUAAAGAGAGAUGGGUAGAGUUCUGCAAACAAGUACAAUUCUACGGGGUGUUCAAGAAGGUUUUGAAAUCCCCAGUGGGGAUGAGCAAAGCUGAGCAAGCAAUCGAACUCAUGCACGCUUUGCCAGCGAUGUUUCCUAGUGCAUCACCACCUCCGAAGAAGAUGCGAGAUGCUAGUGAGGCGUUCAUUCAUGUUCUGAAGGAAAAAGAAGAUCCUGAAUCUUUCUUAAAAAAACGGCAUCUGUCCUGUCCUCUGCUGCUUGUGAGCGCUACCAACUGCAUCCUGGCGGUGGGGGACAAUCCAAUUGCAGAAUUCCAUAACGAUGAUCUCCAUGAGGGUAUGCUGUACAUAAUUGCUCUCUACUAUGCCCUUCACCUGACAUAUCCGAAGUGUGUCAGUACAUUGCUGUCGAUCAUACAGAGUGAGGUGCUAGGUGAUGCACUCCACCCACAAGACCAAACAAGCUCUUUUAAAAAGGGAUUAAGCGAGAUGAGGGCAUUUGUAGGGAACUAAUGCUCAUUGAUUGAAUGCUGGCAAAUUGUUUUAUUAUGUAUGCUGUUGUUUUUACACAUUCAAAUCUUAAAGUGUUACUCCGGCGUUCUGCGACCUAUAGCCAACAUAGACUGAAAUACGACAACAUAGACUGAAUAAUGGCCCAGCCGCUAAAGCUAACCCAGUGGGGCAUUUUCUGUUCAGUGGCAAGAAUGCGGUCAUGUCUCUUGGUGCACUCAGGCAAACUGAUAUGUUUUUAUUUCAUUUUUUACAAAUACUGGUAUGUAAACCACCUUUAUGCUGCCAUGUUUAAUUAUUGUGGUGAUUGUCAUGUGGCUGCAAUAAAUUUUGUCUGAG
Molecule: long non-coding RNA, 1420 nt
Organism: Clupea harengus (Atlantic herring)
Lineage: Eukaryota; Metazoa; Chordata; Actinopteri; Clupeiformes; Clupeidae
Source: Ensembl